AGUGGCGGACGGGUGAGUAACGCGUGGGUAACCUGCCUCAUACAGGGGGAUAACAGUUAGAAAUGACUGCUAAUACCGCAUAAGCGCACAAAACCGCAUGGUUUGGUGUGAAAAACUGAGGUGGUAUGAGACGGACCCGCGUCUGAUUAGCUAGUUGGAGAGGUAACGGCUCACCAAGGCAACGAUCAGUAGCCGACCUGAGAGGGUGACCGGCCACAUUGGGACUGAGACACGGCCCAAACUCCUACGGAAGGCAGCAG
RNAcentral lists this ribosomal RNA (260 nucleotides) under uncultured bacterium. Its description in RNAcentral is "partial 16S ribosomal RNA". It matches the Rfam family "Bacterial small subunit ribosomal RNA", at positions 94 to 354 of the family's 1533-position model. The record is from RNAcentral.